CUUUAGCCCCCUUUCCAGGGAAGUGAACCGUUCUGUCUCACUGGCAUUCCAGGCACCACUGUGGUAUGAAAAACAACUGCAGCUAGCUUGUUCUCUUCCAAAACUGCUGCCCAGUUUUGUGCUUGAAACCCAGAGCCCUUGUGAUGUAAGUAUCUGAGGGAAUCUUCUGGUCUGUGAGUGGUGAGGACAGUGGAAAAAGCAUUGUAUUUGGGGCCAGAAUGUACCGUUCCUCAGGGCAGGGUCCCUCAAGGCUUCCCUUGGCUAGGGGAGGGAGUUCCCUAACCUCUUGUGCUUCCCGGGUAAGACAAUGCCCCACCCUACUUCUGCUUGCCCUCCGUGGACUGCACCCACUGUCUUACCUGUCCCAGUGAGAUGAAGCAAGUCACUCAGUUCGAAAUGCAGAAAUCACCUGCUUUCUCCAUUGGUGUCACUGGGAGCUGCAGACCAGAGUGGUUCCUAUUUGACCACCUUGCCUGGGAGCUCCUAGAAUCUAUGUAAUUUUUCUAAUUUGAGAUUUUUCUGUGGAUGGCCCAGUGUUUUCCUGUUCCAGUUGAAAUCAGUUGCUCUUUAGGCUUUCUUCAUAAGUGAGAUUUAUUUUCACUUUAUUCUGGUUUACUUCUGUUGUUGCUAUUUCUUGUAUCUUUCUGUUUCUUGAUUUCCAUUCUUAUUUUGAUUAGGUCAUCCUCAGUGACUUGCUCAAGGAAUAUAUGGGAGAUAAAUUUCCUGAAUUCUUGAAUAUCUGAAAACAUAUUUAUUUUAACUCACAUAUAAAAAUAGAUAAUUUAGGUUUAAAUUUUCCCAUAAAUUCUGAAUGCAUUACACUAAUUUUAUUUUUUAACAUUUAAUGAUGACAAAAGCAAAAUGAUUGCAAUUUUUUUUUUUUUUAGCAACCUUUUAUUAUUUUCUUUUACUUCGGAAGCACUUUAGGAUAUUCCCUUUCUGUUAGGGAUAUAAAAUAGCAUGAAACUUUGUCUAGCUUCUUUUUCUUUAAUUAGAUUGGAAAUUUUGAUGAUUCCAAAUAUUUUCUGUCUUCACUUUGUAGAAGUUCAAUCACCUAGAUGUAGAUCUUUUAUGUCUCUUCUCCGUUAGCUCAAAUUCUCUUCUCUUUGCCUUUUUUCUCUGUGUUUCGGGAAAAUUCUUUGACUUUAUUUUUCUGUUUGUCUGAUGGUAAUCAUGACUGACAUUUAUGGAAGCUUUUUUGCCAUCUCAUUAUAUAGCAGACUUCUUGUUUUAUAGAUGCUAUGUUUCAGAAGCCAGUAGAGCGUAAGGCUAAAGAAUAGAGACUUUAGAAGACCUGCCUGCAUAUCUAGGCUCAGUCACUUACUAUGUGACAUUAGAAAUGUUUCUUAAUUUCUCUGAAUCUAGAGUUCUCUAUCUGCUUUUUUAUAGGGACACUAGGAACAUUUAAUUAGAUUAAGCAUGUGAAAUUCUCAGUUCAGAGCUUGGCACAUAGUAAGCUCUAAAUAAAUGCUAGCUUUUUGCUUUCUUGAACUUCACUGAUGAAUACAAUCUCAGUUUUUCUCUUGGUCUUUCUCUUAUAUGGAGGCAAUAUGUUUAAUUAUUUCCAAUUUUCUGUUUAUGUUUGAGAGUAUGGAACUAGAUUCAUCAUCUGGGUAGGUAGUAUAUUUUUUUUCUCUGCAAUUACACACACACAUUUUCCACAUAAGCAGAUUCUCCUGAAUAGAGAAGCUUUUUGGAAACUCUCUGGAUGUGGAUGGGUCUUAUAAAUGUCAGUCUGUGUUCUAGGGUGAAUGAACAGAAACCUUCCUCUUAGGCUGAGAAAGCAUAAAUGCCAGAAUAGGUAGGUGCCAACUUCAAUAUCAAUAGUCUAGUUUCUGCAGCAGUUAUUCAAAUCUGCAGAGAGAAUUCUUUUAGAUUUAUUUAUUUACUUAUUUAUUUUUGCCUGGAUAUAAAUGAUAAGCUGUUGGUGGCUUUGCCUUUAUGUUCUGGCAGAAAGAGGUGGUCUCUCUGGGUAGCCUUUCUGCAGACAGAAUUUUACCUCUUUUUUGUUCAGCAUCUUUUUUCCCUACUAUCAACUGUGUCUGCUGGCUUUAGCACAGAGCAUGUUCAGAGUAUUCAUUCCCUGGUUACAGCAUCUUCUUUUCUGUUUAUUCUUAACACGUUGCCUGCAACUUUCUUCCUCUUAGGAAUUUAAUAAUUUGACUGUGAAACCCCCAAUUAUUUUAAUAUAUUUUCCCUUUUGUGUUGAUUUUUAUCAUUUUAAUGGCACCGUUGUCUUUGAACAAACGAGGCAAACAUUCUGCUCUGUUCUUCAAAUUGAACAAGAAACCUCCAAGUCUGUUUACUUCUCCUUAAUUCAUUCAUUUUGCAACCCAUCUUUCAUUCUACAAGCAUCCCUUAAGCAUAUAUAAAUGUGCUUGUCACAUACGAGAAGAUGGAUGUAGAGCAAUGAUUAUCUUCAUGACUCUCACAUUUAUUGUAUCAUGCAUGAAUACUGUAACCAAAUUCAACAAUAAGGGGUUUUAUUUUAGGAGUAAUGGAUGUAAAUGCAAUAAACAUGGAAGCAUUGUACAUUUUUCUCAUAUUAGAUAAUAUUCUUAAGUUGAAAAUAAUGAUUAAAUUAGGCGAGAACAUAUAAGGGGCAUAUUAGAUAUUCACAGCAACUACGGAUGUUUUAGAAAAAUGAUUUGUAGUGAUAAGAACAGCAGGAUAUAAAAGAUUUCAAAGGUAGUUGAUUAAAGGAGCAGCCACCAUGGGAUCGGGAGGGGGUGGAGGCUGCACCCCGCGCCCACCCAUCGGCCAGCAGCUGCCGGAUUGCCGCGUGGUCGCCGUCGUCUUCCUCGGCCUCCUGCUGGACCUCCUGACCUUCACGCUGCUGCUGCCCCUGCUGCCCGGGCUACUGGAGAGCCACGGCCGUGCCCACGAUCCCCCUGUGUCUCCUGGCAGCGCUGAGUGGACUGGUUUGCCACCACCAUUGGGAUGCCAGUGGAGAAGAGGUACAACAGCAUCUUGUUAGGAGAUCUGAUUGGCUCGGCCUUCUCUGUUCUACAGCUUCUGGCUGUGCCACUCACUGGGGCCACCUCUGACUGCUUGGGGAGGUGCCCCGUGAGGCUGCUGUCUCUGACGGGUGUGGCCACCUCAUAUGCCGUCUGGGCCAACUCUGGGAGCUUUGCGGCCUUCCUGGCAUCCAGGCUGAUUGGGGGCAUCAGCAAGGGGAACGUCAGCCUCUCCACGGCCAUCAUUGCUGACCUGGGCUCGCCUCUGGCCUGCAGCCAAAGCAAGGCGGUCAUCGGGGUGGCCUUCUCCCUGGGCUUCACCCUGGGCCCUAUGCUUGCAGCCUCGCUGCCCGUAGAAAUGGCACCCUGGUUUGCCCUGCUCUUCGCAGCCUCAGACCUGCUGUUCAUCUCCUGCUUCCUGCCAGAGAUGCUGCCUCUGGAGAAAUGGGGCGCCCUCUAUCGCCCUAGGGUUCCGCGGUGCCGCAGAUCUACUCAGCCCCCUGGCCCUGUUGCGCUUCUCCGCUGUGGCUCCUGGCCAGGACCCACCCACUGGAGACAGAUUCAGCAGCCUGCGCCGCUUGGGCAUAGUGGGCUUCCUCUACCUCUUCCUGUUCUCGGGCCUGGAGUACACGCUGAGCUUCCCAGCACAACAGCGCUUCCAGUUCAACAGCCUGCAGCAGGGGAAGAUGUUCUUCCUCAUCCACCUCAUCAUGGCCACCAUCCAGGGUGCCCGUGCCUGGCGGAUCCACCCUGGCAGGAAAGUCUCUGUGAUGAAGCCAGCCCUCAUGCUGCUGGUGCCUGCCUUCCUCCUCAUCGGCUGGGACCAUUCUCUGCCAAUGCUAGGCCUGGGGCUGCUGCUCUACUCCAUUGCCUCUGCGGUUGUGGUGCCCUGCCUGUCCUCCGUGGUUGCUGGCUAAGGCUCGCCAGGGCAGAAGGGCAUGGUCAUGGGCACACUGCACAGCCUAGGCACUCUGGCCAGGGUCAUGGGGACCCUGGUGGCCGCUUCAGUGUGCUGGCUGGCCAGAACCCAGGCCUGCUUCACUGCGUGGUAGGAGCUCUUCCUGCUCCCCUUCCUUGUCCUGCGAAGCUGAGUUGUCCAGCGCAGACGUUCAAGGCUGAGUAGCUGAGCCAUUGCACCCUGCUUGCCUGACCCCCUCCUUCCCAGUCCAGGGAGAUCCAGUGGGUGGGGGAGGAAGCCCUGGCAGCUCCUUCGGCCUCACUCCUUUAUGAUUCCCAGCAGUAGCACUCCAAGGCUGUUCGAGUUUCUGUGUGUGUGUUUUGUUUUUUUGUUUUUGUUUCUUUUUUUACUAUGCACCAGGUUUCUGAUAACAGAAUAAAGCAGCUAUUUUAUACCAAAAAAAACAAAAUCAAGUUUGUUUUUAUUGAUUGUAGAGAGAAUUAAAGCAUUGGGUGAGCAGAGAUGCCAGAGAUUUUUUUUUGGCCGCAUUCAUGAUUGCUUUGGUAAUAAUAGAUAUUGAUGAGAGUAAUGAUGAUAAUUAGCAAUUUUUAACCUCCUACUAUGUGACAGAUACUGUUCUAAGCUCUGCUAUGUUUUUCACACAGCUUUGUGAAGUAAAUACUGUUAAAAUUCAUUUUACAAACUGAAAAACAGCUUUAAAAAGGAAAAGUUAUCAGCACAAGGACAUUACGAGAAAUUUAAGACAGCGCUAUCUCUUUUGUUUUAUUUUUGUUACCUAUUUCAGAAAAACAACAACAACAACAACUAUAAAAUAUGCGUAGGGUAUACAAAGUGAAUAUACAACAGUUAAGGGAACAAUUGCCUUUGAAGUUUCUUGACCCAUCCCAUUGUCAUCUGUCUGUGCCUCCUAAGAGAUACUAUUUUGAAGUUUGCGGCUAUAGUUUCCUUGCUUUUUCUUUAUAGCAUUAUCUGUAUUUCUUUAUUCUAAACAAUAUAUUGUUUGUUUUUUCAUACAUUUAAAGUUAUAUAAAUGAAAGCAUUACAUUUGUCAAGCUGUUCUAUAACCUGCUUUUUCAUUUAAUGUUAUAUUCCUGACAUUCAUCUGUAUUAUUGCAUGCCCUGGUAGUUACUCAUUUUCAUUUCUAUAUAGUAUUCCCCAAAAUUAGUAUACCAUGCUUUUUAAUCAACUUUACUCUUGAAUUAUGUUUCACCAUUACAAAGAGUGCUGGAUGCAUAUUCUCGUGCAUUCUCCUAUACAUGAAUAUAUAGACACAUAUAUAUGUAACAUGACAAAAUGUAUACGUACGUACACACACACCUAGGAUUUGUAUUGUUAGCUUACAGUGUAUGAAUGUAUGUACAUCUUACUGCAUAAUACCAAUUUGCUUCCCAAAUUACAUUACCCAACUUUUGGAGUAUUAUUUAUUGCUCCUUUUGUAGAGUUGCUAUGUUUAUUAUUAGUCAUUGUUUGAUUGACAUGUGAGCUUUAUAUAUUUAAGCUAGUAUUUUAACAUAUUACAAAUAUUAUCUCUCAGUUGUGUGCCUUGAAUUUUUACUUUUAAAGUAUGAUAUCUUUUGAUAAACAGAAGUUCUCAAUUUGGUAUAAUCCAGGAUAUCUUCAUAAUUUGGGCUUUUCAUGUUUAGGAAAUCAUUCCUUACCCCAGAACAUUAAGUAUAUUAUUUUCUCUCAUUUUUUUUCAAAUUGUAAACUUUCAUCUUUUACACUUAGUUCUUUAAUCUACACACAAUUUUUUUUGUCUAUGGUAUAAGUAGGGAUCUAAUGUGAUUUGUCUUCUACUUUGUUUCAGCCUCUUUUACUGAAAAGUCCAUUCUUUUUCUACAGGCCUUUAAUUCAGGCCUAUAAUUAAUCAAGCUUCCAUAUGUCUUUGAUUCUGGGCCCUUCUUACUGCUCCCAUUCUAUUUGUCUAUCCCUAAUCUGCACAAUCUUAAACUACAGUCUGAUAUUCUGGAUACUUUAUAGCUUAAAAAAUCAUAAGACUUGAUAACUGGCAUGACAGGUCCUCCUACCUUGUUUUUAUUUGGUAAUGUGUUGGCUAUUCUUGAUAAUUAGUUUUUCCAAUAGACACAUUUUAGAAUUAGCUUGUGAUAGACAGAUACAUACAUACAUAGGUAGAUCCAUAGAUGGAUAGGCAGAUAUUUAGGUAAAUAGAUACCACUACUGUCACCAAAAUUAAUCCAUUAAUUCUUUCUUUGUAAUUGUAUUGAUUCUAUAGAUCAAUUGGGGUAGAACUGACAUCUAUAUAUUAUAUAAUUUUCUAAUAUAUGAAUAUGGUACAUCUAUCCAUUUGUUUAGUUUCCUUUGAUAUUUUGAAAAGCUGUAUAAUAUUUUCAGAAAGGUAUUGCAUAUAUUUUGUUAAGUGUAAUCUUAACUACUUUGUGGAUUUUUUUCGUGCUAUUUUAAAGUAAUACUUUUAUUACAUUUUCUGACGCCUUGCUACUGGUAUUUUAAAAUGCAAUUGGUUUUAUAUUGUUUUGUUUUCAGUAACCCUUCGAAAAUGUUUUAUUAAUCCUAGUAACAAAUAGAAAGUGCUUAGCUCUGCACCCUAUUCAUUUAUUUUGUCUUUUCUGUUUGAUGUUUGAAAUCACAGUUUUUCUAUGCACAAUUGAUUAAAGUGCUUGGUAUUAGCGCUAUUCUUUGACUAGGACUUUGAGGCCUCUGAGGAAAAUCCUUACAGAUACAUUUUACUUGCAGGGCUUGAACCCUAGCUGCUGCAACAAGCAUAUCAUUUGCUUUGUUUUGCCCUGAAUUCUUUUGUUCUUAUCAUUGCUUUGGAAUAUGCAUCUUGCUCAUAGUUCUGCUUCUCUGUUCGGCUUAACACUAACUGAGCUUCUAUAGAAGCUAAAUAUUGGUACAGACAGUGGACUGGGUGCUAGGGAUACGAGAAUGGACAAGUCAGUUCUUGUUUUCUAGUAAUUUAGGGUCUAGUGGACUUUCUGGCUGACUCGUUCCUGAUUAAAUUGUUUAUUGUUAAGGAUAAUUUAUCUUCUUUAGGAAGUUCCACUUUUGAUGGGCAUUUACUAGAAGCAAAACAUUCUUGUGGGUGUUCCCAUGUGUUUUUUUCUUUGUGAUUAAACAAAUAAACAUGUGUGUUAUUCAUUGGCCCAUCCUUGAUUCUGUAGCACUUUUGUCAUUCGCUCUUUACUUCUGAGGGUGUCUUGGGAUAGUCAAAGAGUUAGAAGAUGAGUAUUUCGAUGGAAUGGACAUGGUCUUCCAGCUCCUGAGUUUGGUUGCAGAUAUCUAUUUGGUGAAGGGAGCAUCGGGGCCAAGACUGGCGUAUAGAGAAUCUUACAUGGCCCAAUUCCUUUUGAGAUCUACUUUUGGUAAUUUUUUGUCUUGUAUUUCUAAAAAUAUCUUGGGCACUUCAUUUUCAAUUUUGAAAGUCAGAGCAGUGUUUGAAUUAAGAUUGGUAUUGUUUUUACAUCAACCUUUUACCUAUGAUGUGGAGAGAAUCCAUUCCCACUGGCUUUGUGUGGCCUAGAAAGGCUGCUGGGCUUAGAUGUGUAGUCAUUUUUCCAUCUGAGAAGACUCUUACAACAUUUUCCAUUCUAAAGUUAAUGAGAAUAUGGCCAAGAGAUAAGUCACUUUUUCUCAGUACAUGGUAAUGGGCUUAUUAGUGUCCCUGUUUAAACUCACCUUAGAGCACUUUCCAUAAGCUAAGAGAAAAAGUCCUUGGGACACUGAUUAAAUAAAUUAUCACACAUUCAUAUGAUAGAAAAUCAUCCAACACCUAAAAGGAUUCAAAGAAUUAUUAAUGUUAUGAGAAAAUGUUUAUGAUAAAAUGCUAAGUGAAAUUAGCAAAAUGAACUGUGUGUUUCAUAUUAUUAA
Molecule: RNA transcript, 7723 nt
Organism: Sapajus apella (tufted capuchin)
Lineage: Eukaryota; Metazoa; Chordata; Mammalia; Primates; Cebidae
Gene name: major facilitator superfamily domain-containing protein 10 pseudogene
Exons: 1
Source: RefSeq, a predicted model, not a curated record